Molecule: long non-coding RNA, 887 nt
Organism: Carassius auratus (goldfish)
Lineage: Eukaryota; Metazoa; Chordata; Actinopteri; Cypriniformes; Cyprinidae
Exons: 4
Source: RefSeq, a predicted model, not a curated record
UAAAAAUAACACCUCAACAACAAAAAAAUACCAAUAGCAUACUUUUAUAGACCUUUCAUCUCAAUACUAAUUAUGAAGUUGUGAUAAAUAGCCUGCUGCGGAAAUGUUUAUAUUACUUAAUAUGGACAUAUCCUUUGGCAAAGAGAUGGAUGCAUUCUGGGGCGUGAUGUGUUAAAAUGUAAUUGCUAACAUAUACCCAUGUUUCCUUAGACAUUUCUGCUGACCCCUUUAAAAUUUUGAGCGAGGAUAUAAAAUAUUAAGACUGUACUUUUUCAUUAUAAUUUAUAUUUUGGCGCAAUUUUGUGCAGCGCGUCACUGUGCGCGACCAUCACAGAAACCAUUGCCCAGCGCGAUUCCACCACGAUUCCUUAAUCCCUGUCCUUUAAAAAAAACAGCACCUCAUUACAUUAGGCACUUCUAAGAGCCACAUUUGUCUUGUUUAUUGUCUUAUUUGUAUUUUUUUAUUGUCUUGUUAUUUCUCUCUCUCUCUCUCUCUCUCACACUCUAUCUCUAUCUCUCACUCUCUCUCCAUCCCUGACUCUCUCCCCUACCAUCUGAGUGGUGGUUGUUUUUUAGAGGGACGGAGGAACUGGGUUGCUGCCUCUUCUUCAGUCACUUUAAUCAACUGAAAGUGUAAAGAAUGACAAAGCCAAAAUUCAGGCCUUGCCCAAGCUGCCAGGUCCGUCAGCAGGCUAACCGCAAAACCUGCAGUGCUUGUUUUGCCACACUGCCAAGCAAGCGGUUAUUGAAAACUGCAAAAAUUAAUGAUGACUGGGGCCAGAGGGUCAUCAAAAACAAAAAUGCAUCUCGGGUGGUGGCCUCUGCCCAAAUAGCUGUCCAAAAACUUUCUGCCUUGGGCUAUAUGCCCAUAUUAUUUAUCAGCCAGA